Molecule: ribosomal RNA, 313 nt
Filed under: uncultured Glomeromycotina
Lineage: Eukaryota; Fungi; Glomeromycota
Description: LSU rRNA
Source: RNAcentral
UUGAAAAGGGAAACGAUUGAAGUCAGUUAUGCCGGUGGGAAUCAACUUAGGAGAAACUCUGAGUGUACUUCUUCGCUUGGCAGGUCAACGUUGAUUUUGGAUGUCAUAAAAUGAUUGAGGGAAGGUAGCUCCUUCGGGAGUGUUAUAGCCCUUGGUAGAUGUGAUGUCUGGGAUCAAGGAUUGCAAUGGAUACCUUUUGGGGCUAGCCGCCUGAUCUCUAAUUGGUAUUGGGUUACGGAUAGCAUGCUGACCGUGAUCUAAUUAUUGGUUAAAAGGUUAGAGCCUGCAUAAAUUCGUUAAGGAUGUUGACGUA